CGAAUGAAGCGGCAAGAGCCCAAAUUUGAAAUCAGGCCCUCGCGGCUUGAGUUGUAAUUUGGAGACGGGAUACUAGAGAGAGGGAGGGCGACUAAGUGCCUUGGAACAGGCUGCCGUAGAGGGUGAGAGCCCCGUGAGUCGCGUGAACUUGAUCAAUUAGUGCCCGCCGAAGAGUCGAGUUGUUUGGGAAUGCAGCUCUAAGUGGGUGGUAUAUUCCAUCUAAGGCUAAAUAUUAGCGAGAGACCGAUAGCAAACAAGUACAGUGAUGGAAAGAUGAAAAGAACUUUGGAAAGAGAGUGAAAUAGUACGUGAAAUUGUUGAAAGGGAAGGGUAUUUGAUCCGACAUGGUGUUUAGCAGCGGCCCGUUCCUCGUGGAUGGGUGCACCUGGUUUACACUGGGCCAGCAUCGGUUCUGGGAGCCAUAUACGGGGCAGGCGAAUGUGGCCCUUCGAUUCUGUCGGAGGGUGUUAUAGCGCCAGCCAGACGUGGCUAUCCG
RNAcentral lists this ribosomal RNA (496 nucleotides) under Brettanomyces anomalus. RNAcentral describes it as "eukaryotic LSU rRNA". It matches the Rfam family "Eukaryotic large subunit ribosomal RNA", at positions 90 to 592 of the family's 3401-position model. Lineage: Eukaryota; Fungi; Ascomycota; Pichiomycetes; Pichiales; Pichiaceae. The record is from RNAcentral.